Molecule: ribosomal RNA, 468 nt
Filed under: uncultured bacterium
Lineage: Bacteria
Description: partial 16S ribosomal RNA
Rfam family: Bacterial small subunit ribosomal RNA
Source: RNAcentral
GACGAACGCUGGCGGCGUGCUUAACACAUGCAAGUCGAACGGAAAGGCCCUGCUUUUGUGGGGUGCUCGAGUGGCGAAAGGGUGAGUAACACGUGAGUAACCUGCCCUUGACUUUGGGAUAACUUCAGGAAACUGGGGCUAAUACCGGAUAGGAGCUCCUGCUGCAUGGUGGGGGUUGGAAAGUUUCGGCGGUUGGGGAUAGACUCGCGGCUUAUCAGCUUGUUGGUGGGGUAGUGGCUUACCAAGGCUUUGACGGGUAGCCGGCCUGAGAGGGUGACCGGCCACAUUGGGACUGAGAUACGGCCCAGACUCCUACGGGAGGCAGCAGUGGGGAAUAUUGCACAAUGGGCGGAAGCCUUAUGCAGCAACGCCGCGUGCGGGAUGACGGCCUUCGGGUUGUAAACCGCUUUCGCCUGUGACGAAGCGUGAGUGACGGUAAUGGGUAAAGAAGCACCGGCUAACUACGUG